AUGCGCCGCUGCCCCGGCUUAACCCACAACCAUCGGUUGGGACCCGCCACUGCCCGCGAUCGGUGCAUCCUGGGCGACCCACUGCUGCCUGUGACCGUCGCAUCGACGCAUCCCAGGCGACCCACCGUGCGACGAAGCCGGCCGCCACCGCCCAACAGCUCGCUCGUGUGGAGCGGACGGGUUGUUUCCCGUAUAUAUUGUGCCUUUUUUCUGUCGCCUAACAAAUGCGGGUGCGGGUGCGGAUGGCAGAGUUUUCGUCCGCCCCUGCAAAUUGCUAACCGUACUUUUGAUGACGGUGAGUUGUUAUUUGGACAGCUAGAUCUAAAUGAAUAG
RNAcentral lists this ribosomal RNA (333 nucleotides) under Triticum aestivum (bread wheat). Its description in RNAcentral is "partial small subunit ribosomal RNA". The record is from RNAcentral. Lineage: Eukaryota; Viridiplantae; Streptophyta; Magnoliopsida; Poales; Poaceae.